RNAcentral lists this ribosomal RNA (301 nucleotides) under uncultured bacterium. Its description in RNAcentral is "partial 16S ribosomal RNA". It matches the Rfam family "Bacterial small subunit ribosomal RNA", at positions 509 to 807 of the family's 1533-position model. The record is from RNAcentral.
CAGCCGCCGCGGUAAUACAGAGGGUGCAAGCGUUAAUCGGAAUUACUGGGCGUAAAGCGCGCGUAGGUGGUUUGUUAAGUUGAAUGUGAAAUCCCCGGGCUCAACCUGGGAACUGCAUCCAAAACUGGCAAGCUAGAGUAGGGCAGAGGGUGGUGGAAUUUCCUGUGUAGCGGUGAAAUGCGUAGAUAUAGGAAGGAACACCAGUGGCGAAGGCGACCACCUGGGCUCAUACUGACACUGAGGUGCGAAAGCGUGGGGAGCAAACAGGAUUAGAUACCCGUGUAGUCCCUGUCUCUUAUAC